Molecule: ribosomal RNA, 253 nt
Filed under: uncultured bacterium
Lineage: Bacteria
Description: partial 16S ribosomal RNA
Rfam family: Bacterial small subunit ribosomal RNA
Source: RNAcentral
UACGAAGGGGGCUAGCGUUGUUCGGAAUUACUGGGCGUAAAGGGCGCGUAGGCGGGAUGGCAAGUCGGUCGUGAAAUCCUUCGGCUCAACCGAAGAACGUCGAUCGAUACUGCUGUUCUUGAGGGUUGCAGAGGAGACUGGAAUUCCCGGUGUAGCGGUGAAAUGCGUAGAGAUCGGGAGGAACACCGGUGGCGAAGGCGGGUCUCUGGGCAAUUCCUGACGCUGAGGCGCGAAAGCGUGGGGAGCAAACGGG